UACAUGGGGUGCAAACGUUGCUCGGAAUCAUUGGGCGUAAAGCGCGCGUAGGCGGUUACUUAAGUCGAAUGUGAAAGCCCUCGGCUUAACCGAGGAAGUGCAUCCGAAACUGAGUAGCUAGAGUACGAAAGAGGGUCGCGGAAUUCCCGGUGUAGAGGUGAAAUUCGUAGAUAUCGGGAGGAACACCGGUGGCGAAGGCGGCGACCUGGGUCGAGACUGACGCUGAGGCGCGAAAGCGUGGGGAUCAAACAGG
Molecule: ribosomal RNA, 253 nt
Filed under: uncultured bacterium
Lineage: Bacteria
Description: partial 16S ribosomal RNA
Rfam family: Bacterial small subunit ribosomal RNA
Source: RNAcentral